RNAcentral lists this ribosomal RNA (468 nucleotides) under uncultured bacterium. RNAcentral describes it as "partial 16S ribosomal RNA". It matches the Rfam family "Bacterial small subunit ribosomal RNA", at positions 28 to 507 of the family's 1533-position model. The record is from RNAcentral.
GACGAACGCUGGCAGCGUGCUUAACACAUGCAAGUCGAACGGAAAGGCCCUGCCUUUGUGGGGUGCUCGAGUGGCGAACGGGUGAGCAACACGUGAGUAACCUGCCCUUGACUUUGGGAUAACUUCAGGAAACUGGGUCUCAUACCGGCUAGGAGCUCCUGCCGCAUGGUGGGGGUUGGACAGAUUCGGCGGUUGGGGAUGGACUCGCGGCUUAUCAGCUUGUUGGUGGGGUAGUGGCUUACCAAGGCUUUCACCGGUAGCCGGCCUGGGAGGGUGACCUGCCCAAUUGGAACUGAGAUGCGGCCCAGACUCCAACGGGAGGCAGCAGAGGGGAAUAGUACACAAUAGGCGGAGGCCUAGUGCGGCAAAGCAGCGUGCGGGAUGACAGCAAUCGGGUAGGAAACCACUUUCGCCUGUGACGAAGCGUGAGUGACGGUACUGGGUAAAUAAGCACCGGCUAACUACGUG